Molecule: ribosomal RNA, 260 nt
Filed under: uncultured archaeon
Lineage: Archaea
Description: partial 16S ribosomal RNA
Rfam family: Archaeal small subunit ribosomal RNA
Source: RNAcentral
ACACGACUACAUUAGAUACCCGCGUAGUCCUAGCCGUAAACGAUGCUCACUAGGUGUAGGGAGUGAUAAACUCUCUGUGCUGAAGCGAACGCGCUAAGUGAGCCGCCUGGGGAGUACGUCCGCAAGGAUGAAACUUAAAGGAAUUGGCGGGGAGCACCACAACGGGUGGAGCCUGCGGUUUAAUUGGACUCAACGCCGGAAAUCUCACCGGAUAGGACAGACAAAUGAUAGUCGGGCUGAAGACUCUACUUGAUGAUCUG